Molecule: long non-coding RNA, 644 nt
Filed under: Lactuca sativa (garden lettuce)
Lineage: Eukaryota; Viridiplantae; Streptophyta; Magnoliopsida; Asterales; Asteraceae
Description: long non-coding RNA (LSAT_LNC003454)
Source: RNAcentral
CUGCUCUGAUCUCCCACCCUAGAAUCAACGGUCUUGGACCGUUUCGGCGCCGGCUGCGAUUGCACCGGAGCCUGCCUCAGCUCACGCAACUGCAACUCAAUCUCCAACUCACGCCGCCUGGCGGCCUCCUGCAACUCCAACAAAGUCUCGCACCUCUGCGUAGACACAAACUGUCUGAUAUCUCUCUUGAGCAUACUCAGAUAUCGGGACAUCUGAGCCUGCUUCGAAGCGAACUCAGGGCAAAACAUCGCCCUCUCAGUGAACAUCUUGGUGAUCUCAGUCACCGACUCCGAACCCUGCUUUAGCUCCAGGAAUUCCUGAUCCAAUCUCUCCCUCUCAACCCUCGGAACAUAACGAGUGCUGAACAGGUGAUCUCAGUCACCGACUCCGAACCCUGCUUUAGCUCCAGGAAUUCCUGAUCCAAUCUCUCCCUCUCAACCCUCGGAACAUAACGAGUGCUGAACAUCUCUCUGAACUGAUCCCAUGAAACCGCAGCCCUCUGUGCAUCCGAAUAUGACCUCGUGGUCAAUCUCCACCAAUCCUUCGCCCCGAGCCUCAACAGGUUCAGAGCACACCUCACCCUCUGAUCAGCAGGGCAUGAACACGUGAAGAAACACCCCUCCACGUCCGAUAACCAUCUCAUA